Molecule: long non-coding RNA, 949 nt
Organism: Anopheles gambiae (African malaria mosquito)
Lineage: Eukaryota; Metazoa; Arthropoda; Insecta; Diptera; Culicidae
Exons: 2
Source: RefSeq, a predicted model, not a curated record
GUUUGAUAGUAUAAUCUUCGCUUUUAGCGUUGAGAAGACACGUUUCGCUUGGGUGUCCGGUAAUCGAUAAGAAGCAAGUGACUUAAAUUUUAACUGAUUUUUGCACUUUUUUCUUAGGGCCAAACUCCAAGACGCAGCGUGAUCGUUAUUUACGCACGCAAAUGAACUUCACCUAGACACUGAGUGCGACUUUUUUUUUGUAAAGAAAUGAGAUCACAGCACUAAGCUUGAUUCACAACUUUCACUGCACGGUAGACACCAGGAAAGGAGGCGCGCAGGCGGUCGCAUUUACGGCGCACGAAGUAUGUCACCGCGUAUAUUUUUCACACACAUCCAAUCCAUUCUUCUCAAGAACCAAACCGUAACCGUACAAUUAUUUCCACUGCUUAUUCCAUGUCAUGAAGAAUCAGCAUAACAUUCUGGAAGAUUUCUACCCGAGCGAUUCAGUUGAUGAUGAUGAUGAUGACGACGGUUGCCAGAUUUCCCGACUGUUUGUAAGUACCAAACUCCGAGCAGUCUUUCUUUCGCCUCUUUAUGCUUUCAUCCCAAUUCCAUUCCAGCUCAGAGCUAUGUGGUGCUCUUGUGGGCAGCAGCAGCACCAGCGGAAGAAAGUCCCGUUAUGUUCCACACCGCACGCUUGCGACGAUGUUUUUUUUUACUUCUUUACGAUUCGUUGUUUCGUGCAAAAUCACCUACACAAAAAGUACAUCUUUAAAUUGUGUUCCAUGCUCACCUUUUAUAUUCGUUUAUUGACUGUGAAUUAAGGUACGUCUUUUUAUUUCAAAAAAACCCUCGGAGCCUCACACUUUCAGACGAUGCACCUAACGUUUGGCUCGGACGAAAGAAUGCAACACAAUGAUCGGCGAUGAUCUUCAGGUGAGCCACGCAGAAAGGAGAGAGAGAGAGAGAGCGUGCGCACGUCCGUGUGUGAGCGCCGUUGCGAGAGAAA